UUUUGCAAGAUAAACCUUCAUGUCAAAUAAAUACAGGUCAAACCAUAAUAUGAAAAAUCUCCUGCAACAUAGCCCUUCCGUGUAUCGAAACGUGACAGUCAAAGGAAACAAAAAA
This 115-nucleotide small RNA is filed under the name Arabidopsis thaliana (thale cress). Its description in RNAcentral is "ATSL196020". Lineage: Eukaryota; Viridiplantae; Streptophyta; Magnoliopsida; Brassicales; Brassicaceae. The record is from RNAcentral.